RNAcentral lists this non-coding RNA (21 nucleotides) under Arabidopsis thaliana (thale cress). The record is from RNAcentral. Lineage: Eukaryota; Viridiplantae; Streptophyta; Magnoliopsida; Brassicales; Brassicaceae.
UGUUAUUUGGAUGCUGCUCAG